CUUGGCCUUGACCUUGGACUUCCACAGCUCCUUGUUUAUAAAUCAUAUUCUCAGGUAUUUUAGAAUUGUUUGAUGGUGAAGCUAGAAUGUGAAGACAAGAUCUAGGUUUUUUCUGGUUGAUUUUUUAGAAUUGUUUAAUGGUGGAUAAAGUGAAGAUCUCUAGGGGGU
Long non-coding RNA from Mytilus trossulus (common blue mussel), 168 nucleotides. RefSeq lists it as uncharacterized. Lineage: Eukaryota; Metazoa; Mollusca; Bivalvia; Mytilida; Mytilidae. The record is from RefSeq and is a predicted model, not a curated record. The transcript has 3 exons.